GCUGGCCUCUACUCACCAAAUUCCAGGGUCACCUCUCAGCUUUGAUAACCCCAGAUAUCUCCAGACAUUGCCAUGAUUCCUGAGGAGGGGUAGGAAGGAAUUGUUCCCAGUUGACAAACCCUGUCCUAAAAGAAACAAAAGAACUGUUUUAUAGAGUAGGUAAUAAAUCUAUGAGAUUUCAUAAGAAGUAGCAAGUGCUGAAAAUAAAAGUGUUAUCUCCAAAUCUAUGUUGACUCACCCAUGACCUUUACAAAGCCCUUCUUAACAGUAUGAAAAACUCUCCCUUUUUUGUUUGCUUCCAAAAGGGUGAGCAUCAUAUGCUCCUAUAGAAUGGCCAUUGUUUCAUGCUUCUGUGGAAAAGACCCCUUUUUGACAGGAAAUAUGAGUGCAUUCAUCAAGGUGCCAGCUAGAAAAUGCAGGCUUGGGGCGGGGAGGGGGGCGCGAAGGGAAUUCCUUUUGUGGCUAAGUAGUGACAAGCCUCACUAGUAUCCAUGAGGAUGGCGUCUCUGCCCAGCUCAGUGAGUUAAAGAUCCUGCGUUGCUGUGUCGCAGAUGCCGCUCUGAUCUGAUCUCUGAUCUGGCUGUGGCGUAGGCGGGCAACUGCAGCUCCAACUGGACCCCUAGCCUGGGAACUUCCAUAUGCUGUGGGUGUGGCUCUAAGAGAAAGAAAAACGAAAAUGCAGGCUUGAGAUGUUUCCUAGAACCCUGGCAUGGUGCUUCAUACAUCAAAAACACAAGAGCGAAUUUAAGCCCCUUUUCAUAGGGAAGCCAGGAGAUGGAGAUCAGUUACCAGGGGUAACGUCAAAAGCACAUACGGGACAGUGAAAACAGGAGAAAGACCAAGAACCGGAAGCCAGAUGGUUUUUACAAUAAAGAACUUGUUUGUGUUCACUUCUGAAUGAGUGUUGAUUUCUAGGCUGAGAGAUUUAAGUUCAAGGAUGCCUGACUGGCUGAAUGGACAGGAAUGGUAUGGAGAGUCACCAAAAACCAAGUUGCUAAACCAAAGGUUGAAGAUGAAUUCCAGUGAACAGUGGGGCUGUCCAAGGAGGGUAGAGACAAAUUCUUCAGCAUUACUGCUCUAGAGAAAGAAAGGAGACAGUCGGCUGAAAGUUGUGACACGCCUAGAUUUUUCUUUCAAGUUGCCUUAGGUGUUAAUGAUGCGAAAGGGUUUGUAGCUUUGUGUGGUGCCUUAUGGAGCACAGGAAAAUAAAAAUUACAGUGCCACAUAUGUGUUCACAAUCAAUUUGGCUAUUUGCAAUAUUUAUAUGCAAAUUCAUGCCAUAAUAAAUUAAUAAAAUGGUGCUAUAAAAUGGAUCCACUGGUAUUUUGUGUAAUGCUUGACACUAGAUCUAUUUGCCUUAAAUUGAGUCCUAUAAUUGGCAAGGAAGUAAUUCUUUAGCAUCUUUUGCUAUAUAUUAUUUGCUUAGGUAAAUAGAAAAUAGACCCAUCCUAUGGCCACAUUAACGUUUAAUGUUUUAAAAAUGAAUUGAUAUAUGCUUACUACAAACAAUUCAAACAAUAAAGACACAUAUGAAAAAUGAGAAUUCUUUUUCUGUCUCUAAUUGCCUCCCUAAACCUUUAUAAGAAUCACGUUAAACCGUAAACAGUAAAGAUUAUUUACUUUGGGUUUUUUAAAAAUUUGUGUAAAUUCCAUUUCCAAAGAGGUACUUUUGUCAACCAUGUAUUAAUUUCUAUUUUUAUUGCAUUCUGCAUUUCUGUUUUGUGAAUAUUUACACAGAAAUUACAUCAACAAAUAUCUUAAUCACUAUUCUUAGAAGUUUUAUUUACUCAUUAUCAUUUCUUGUACUUCUAUCUUCAUUUUCCCCUUCAUUUUUUCCAUUUUUCAUACACAUACAUAUCAUCCUUCUUUUUUCAAGUUCCAUGGAUAGUAAUUUUUCUGAUAAAAAUUUCUCUAUUUUGAAUAUUUUGGAGGGUGGAUAUACAUUGCAGAUUCAAAACAUUCUUAGCACAGUAUAGAUUUUGUUAUACUGGUAAUUUAUAAUUUGUUUUGGUUUUGUUUUUUUGGCUUUUCUUGUUACAAAUGAGUUUGGUUCAUGUUUCUGCCAAGUUAUUAUCUUUCUUAUCUUGCAGUUUGUAGGGUUGUUGUGUUUAUCCUCAGAGACUACACUUUCUAGGAAUGUGGGGUGUGAAAAUGUACUGAUACUUUUGUAUUCUGUGUUCUGGAAGAAUCCUUUUCCUUGUUUUGAAUCUCUGGUACACUGAUUUAAUCUUUUACCAUUGGUAAUUGUAUACUUCUCUUGAGUUUUCUCUCUUCCUACUCCCCUUCUAAAUUUCAGCACCCAUGCUUUUAAUUUCUAAGAAAGCUAAACUGAGUAUUUUUUGGUUUUGUUUUUUAAGUAACAGACCUAUGUUGUGUGAGUUAUAUGAUAGCAUCUUGAAAUCCUAAGGAGAUAAAAUUUAUACAUUUUUUUUCAAAGAUUUCUUCUCACUCCUGAUUUAGCCCUGUGUCUCCUUGCUUUUGUAAUCUUUCUUGCCAGUGAUUUUUCUACAGCAUUUGACGAUUUAGGGAGUUUGUUUAUAUAAGUAAAUGAGAGUCAUGGUUGACCAAAGCUAUCGAUGGAGGAUUUUAAUCCAGUGCUCUUGAAGAUCUGUGUGGUUAAUCCGAGAAUGGGGCUGGGAGCCUGACUCCAGCGGACCUAUAUUUCUGUGACUGUGGAUCACUUAUGUUCUAGGAAUGGGAUCUCCUCUGCCAGCUUGGAGUUCAGAUGCUCUUUUGGGUCUGAUCCAACUUCGUCUUCUGGCCCUGUGGUCUACUUUGUGCCUCCUAAGGAACUGCCCACUCUAUCUGGCUGGAUCAUCUCAGCUAAUCAGCUCCUCUGUUUUCUACCUGUCAACCCACAGGUGGAUUCUGCUUCCACCCCAGCUACCUGAGCUAUUGGCGCUAUCUCAAAGCUCUGUGGGGAAAAUUCCCUUUUUUCACUUAUGUUUGGGAGGCCCCAACACAAAUAUCAAACACAUUACAGUGUUUCCACAUCAACACAAGGGUGCCAAGUUAGGAGUUCCUGUAGAAAGGUAAUGUAAUUCCCUCUUUGAUAAUGUCAUGCACAUGUUCUAUUUAUUUUUUGUGUUUGUUGAACUACAAUAUUU
This 3107-nucleotide long non-coding RNA is filed under the name Sus scrofa (pig). RNAcentral describes it as "lncRNA (ENSSSCG00000062890.1)". Lineage: Eukaryota; Metazoa; Chordata; Mammalia; Artiodactyla; Suidae. The record is from RNAcentral.